GGGUUUUGGACGCCAGCGGAACGGAAUGUGGAGAGGUGGGUGGGGCCUCGUGGAGAUUCCGGAGUUCGGGAGAAUGGACGGUCUUGAUUGACUAAGGACGGCCUCGAGAUUCGUGCUCGCGGAACUUGCCGACGCGGCACGGCGACAGGUGGCCUCUCGCUCUCCGUCCGGACUCCCGGACUCUUCCUCCGCCGCCGCCGCCAUGGCGAUGGGCGCGGCGGUCCGGCGGAUGCACGCCGCAGCGGCGGCGGCGGCGGCGGCGCAGCCCCCGCGCCUGACGAAGCUUGCGCUGCACCCGCCCAGAUCGGUGAGUUCCUCCUCCUCCGCUCUCGGCGGCUAAUUUCUUCCCGCUUAGAUCCCGUGCGCUUUGCCUGUUCCUUGCUUCCUUCCUACUGUUGGUUGGUGGUACUUCGUUUGGUGUCGCGAAGCCAAGUGCACUUUCGGUUCCAAACUCGCUACAUCGCCGCAUUGGACCACCUGCUGUAUUGCUGCUGUGCCGUCGACUUCACUUCAUCCAUUCAUUUACUGUUGUAACUUACCUUGAUCCUUCUGUUUGAGUAAUGGGAUUGCGAAGUGACUAGCUGGAACUCGAAUUGGUUCUGAGAGUAUUGCUCUUUUCGGCAACGGGGAAUGUAGCGAAUUCAUCAUACAUUCAUACUGUUCAUCCGUGGGUGACCAGACAGCGAAGUAUGAAAAGAAUCGCUAGUGAGCACUACAAUUGGUCCCCGCUCUUCAUUUUUCCAAUUGGGUGCUGGAAAUCUUGUGAAAUCUUGCGUGCGAUCCAGGUGGAGCUCCAAAUCAGUGGCAGCGAAUAGUCAGUCAUCUUUAUCCCAAAUAUCUCGGAUCAUGUCCUUGUCAAAGUUCCUGCCAUGGACAUAAUUUGAAGAUAUUUGUUGGUGAUUGUUUGGUCGUGUACACAUAAUGGCAUCAGUCACAAUUGGAUUGAGCUUACAAGCCACAAUUAAUAAUGAAAAUCUCACAUUGACUGAAGUGCUAUAGCCAUCCCAUGAUAAGUGCUCUAGUUUAUGUGCAAUUUUAUUGUAGAAAUUACUGACAUAAUUUUCUUUUCAUUUUUUCUCAUUAAUAUGAUCUUGCUGAACAGGUGUUCCUCCAUAUUGCUGCAUGAUGCCUCAUGCCUUGAUCAGGGUAUUGGUGACUAUUGAGCUAUAUUUACUGUUCUUCACAGGUGGAGGUUGAAUUCACUGAUGGUAGCUCAUUCCAUCUGUCAGCUGAAUUUCUAAGAGUACAUAGUCCAGCAGCUGACAGCAAAAUAAUAUCAGUAUCUGGUGAGAAGGUUAUAUUUGGGCGACGGUAUGUUGGAAUAAUGUCAGCUGAAUCAGUAGGAAACUAUGGAAUUCGGAUACUAUUUGAUGAUUUGCACAAGACGGGGAUCUUCACAUGGGAUUACUUGCAUCAUCUGGGUUCUAAAAAGUUCAGUCUGACGCGAAAUUAUAUCAGAACUUUGAGAAAGCAUGGUCUUAGCCGGGAUCCUCAGAGAAGGAAAUGAUGAACACAAACCUUCACUCAGAUUCAGAUUGUGACACGAGGAAAACUUAUGUACGCUUUCCGUACCAAGUCUCAGUAACAGUAAUGACUGCUGCUGCCAAUGCUGGAGAGCACUAGAACGAGAAAUACAGAAUGUAUGAAACCAGAUAAUCAACUGCUGAAUAUAGUAACAGUUUUAGGAAUGGCGACUGAAUACUGAUGAUACUCUAGGGUUCAUUCUUUGAGGUUUAAGAAUGAGGGCUGCUGUUUUGGAGGCUGAUGUUUCAGCCCAUCCAAAAAGAGCUGCGUGUAGUGCGUGAGAUCUACGCGUGUAUCUGACGGAGAAAAAGAAACAUACGACGUUUCAAUUGGCUGGAAUGUUUUUGACUCCA
Molecule: non-coding RNA, 1877 nt
Organism: Oryza sativa Japonica Group (Japanese rice)
Lineage: Eukaryota; Viridiplantae; Streptophyta; Magnoliopsida; Poales; Poaceae
Source: RefSeq, a predicted model, not a curated record